UUAAGCGACUAAGCGUACACGGUGGAUGCCCUGGCAGUCAGAGGCGAUGAAGGACGUGCUAAUCUGCGAAAAGCGUCGGUAAGGUGAUAUGAACCGUUAUAACCGGCGAUGUCCGAAUGGGGAAACCCAGUGCAAUUCGUUGCACUAUCGUUAACUGAAUACAUAGGUUAACGAGGCGAACCGGGGGAACUGAAACAUCUAAGUACCCCGAGGAAAAGAAAUCAACCGAGAUUCCCCCAGUAGCGGCGAGCGAACGGGGAGCAGCCCAGAGUCUGAAUCAGCUUGUGUGUUAGUGGAACGGUCUGGAAAGUCCGACGGUACAGGGUGAUAGUCCCGUACACCAAAAUGCACAGGCUGUGAACUCGAAGAGUAGGGCGGGACACGUGGUAUCCUGUCUGAAUAUGGGGGACCAUCCUCCAAGGCUAAAUACUCCUGACUGACCGAUAGUGAACCAGUACCGUGAGGGAAAGGCGAAAAGAACCCCGGCGAGGGGAGUGAAAAAGAACCUGAAACCGUGUACGUACAAGCAGUGGGAGCACCUUCGGGUGUGACUGCGUACCUUUUGUAUAAUGGGUCAGCGACUUAUAUUCUGUAGCAAGGUUAACCGUAUAGGGGAGCCGCAGGGAAACCGAGUCUUAACUGGGCGUUAAGUUGCAGGGUAUAGACCCGAAACCCGGUGAUCUAGCCAUGGGCAGGUUGAAGGUUGGGUAACACUAACUGGAGGACCGAACCGACUAAUGUUGAAAAAUUAGCGGAUGACUUGUGGCUGGGGGUGAAAGGCCAAUCAAACCGGGAGAUAGCUGGUUCUCCCCGAAAGCUAUUUAGGUAGCGCCUCGUGAACUCAUCUUCGGGGGUAGAGCACUGUUUCGGCUAGGGGGUCAUCCCGACUUACCAACCCGAUGCAAACUACGAAUACCGAAGAAUGUUAUCACGGGAGACACACGGCGGGUGCUAACGUCCGUCGUGAAGAGGGAAACAACCCAGACCGCCAGCUAAGGUCCCAAAGUCAUGGUUAAGUGGGAAACGAUGUGGGAAGGCACAGACAGCCAGGAUGUUGGCUUAGAAGCAGCCAUCAUUUAAAGAAAGCGUAAUAGCUCACUGGUCGAGUCGGCCUGCGCGGAAGAUGUAACGGGGCUAAACCAUGCACCGAAGCUGCGGCAGCGACACUAUGUGUUGUUGGGUAGGGGAGCGUUCUGUAAGCCUGCGAAGGUGUGCUGUGAGGCAUGCUGGAGGUAUCAGAAGUGCGAAUGCUGACAUAAGUAACGAUAAAGCGGGUGAAAAGCCCGCUCGCCGGAAGACCAAGGGUUCCUGUCCAACGUUAAUCGGGGCAGGGUGAGUCGACCCCUAAGGCGAGGCCGAAAGGCGUAGUCGAUGGGAAACAGGUUAAUAUUCCUGUACUUGGUGUUACUGCGAAGGGGGACGGAGAAGGCUAUGUUAGCCGGGCGACGGUUGUCCCGGUUUAAGCAUGUAGGCUGGUUGUCCAGGCAAAUCCGGAUAAUCAAGGCUGAGGUGUGAUGACGAGGCACUACGGUGCUGAAGUAACAAAUGCCCUGCUUCCAGGAAAAGCCUCUAAGCAUCAGGUAACAUCAAAUCGUACCCCAAACCGACACAGGUGGUCAGGUAGAGAAUACCAAGGCGCUUGAGAGAACUCGGGUGAAGGAACUAGGCAAAAUGGUGCCGUAACUUCGGGAGAAGGCACGCUGGUGUGUAGGUGAAGCCCCUGCGGGUGGAGCUGAGACCAGUCGAAGAUACCAGCUGGCUGCAACUGUUUAUUAAAAACACAGCACUGUGCAAACACGAAAGUGGACGUAUACGGUGUGACGCCUGCCCGGUGCCGGAAGGUUAAUUGAUGGGGUUAUCCGUAAGGAGAAGCUCUUGAUCGAAGCCCCGGUAAACGGCGGCCGUAACUAUAACGGUCCUAAGGUAGCGAAAUUCCUUGUCGGGUAAGUUCCGACCUGCACGAAUGGCGUAAUGAUGGCCAGGCUGUCUCCACCCGAGACUCAGUGAAAUUGAACUCGCUGUGAAGAUGCAGUGUACCCGCGGCAAGACGGAAAGACCCCGUGAACCUUUACUAUAGCUUGACACUGAACAUUGAGCCUUGAUGUGUAGGAUAGGUGGGAGGCUUUGAAGCGUGGACGCCAGUCUGCGUGGAGCCAACCUUGAAAUACCACCCUUUAAUGUUUGAUGUUCUAACGUUGGCCCCUUACCGGGGUUGCGGACAGUGUCUGGUGGGUAGUUUGACUGGGGCGGUCUCCUCCCAAAGCGUAACGGAGGAGCACGAAGGUUAGCUAAUCCUGGUCGGACAUCAGGAGGUUAGUGCAAUGGCAUAAGCUAGCUUGACUGCGAGCGUGACGGCGCGAGCAGGUGCGAAAGCAGGUCAUAGUGAUCCGGUGGUUCUGAAUGGAAGGGCCAUCGCUCAACGGAUAAAAGGUACUCCGGGGAUAACAGGCUGAUACCGCCCAAGAGUUCAUAUCGACGGCGGUGUUUGGCACCUCGAUGUCGGCUCAUCACAUCCUGGGGCUGAAGUAGGUCCCAAGGGUAUGGCUGUUCGCCAUUUAAAGUGGUACGCGAGCUGGGUUUAGAACGUCGUGAGACAGUUCGGUCCCUAUCUGCCGUGGGCGCUGGAGAAUUGAGGGGGGCUGCUCCUAGUACGAGAGGACCGGAGUGGACGCAUCACUGGUGUUCGGGUUGUCAUGCCAAUGGCACUGCCCGGUAGCUAAAUGCGGAAGAGAUAAGUGCUGAAAGCAUCUAAGCACGAAACUUGCCCCGAGAUGAGUUCUCCCUGAGACUUUAAGUCUCCUGAAGGAACGUUGAAGACGACGACGUUGAUAGGCCGGGUGUGUAAGCGCAGCGAUGCGUUGAGCUAACCGGUACUAAUGAACCGUGAGGCUUAACCUU
This 2898-nucleotide ribosomal RNA is filed under the name Klebsiella pneumoniae. RNAcentral's name for it is "23S ribosomal RNA". It matches the Rfam family "Bacterial large subunit ribosomal RNA". Lineage: Bacteria; Pseudomonadati; Pseudomonadota; Gammaproteobacteria; Enterobacterales; Enterobacteriaceae. The record is from RNAcentral.